AAUAAUGACUGAUCUUUGAAUUUUGAAAAAUGAGAGGUGAUUUUAGAGGCGGCGAAAUUAGGUUUGGAGGUGAGCAACGAAAUUAACUCCGUGCUAUUCCUGCUGCAAUUCCCAAUUCUCAGAAGGCAACAACAUAUGAAUCGGGUACGAGUGGUUCGCCUGCAGACCAAUCUGAAAUUGAUAAGUUGGAGCAACACCUCUCUAAUCUCAUAAAGAUGUAUCUACAUGGCAAAGUCCUUGUUCUGUCUGAAAAAACGUGACUAGCUUCGAGCCUCCUCACUAAUUGAGCUAUUGAAAUUUUAAAUUGUGAUGCUCUGUUUUUGUUAUUGCUUGUAUUGUUGCAACUCUUGGUGGCUCUCUGUUUGGCUAUGAUCUUGGAGUUUCUGGGAUCGUUGUUACCAAAAAUGUACGCAUCUUUUCUUAUAAUUCCCUAAGGUCAGCAACUAGGAAUUUUCAUCCAUCGAGCAAAAUAGGUGCUAGAGGCUAUGGAGUUGUCUACAAAGUGAGACCAAUGUUGUUGCUUUUAUGAAUCUCUCAUGUAAUUUCUUCCUUGAAGGUACCUUUCCAUAUUAAUUCUGAUACAUUUUAAUCUGUCAUUGGUAUGAUAAAAUGUAAUAAUGAAAUAUCCCUUAUUUAAGGAUUGUAUUCACCUCAAUUUGUGUUUCAAAUAUGUUUCAAAUAUCUUGUAUUCUUGUAUCA
Molecule: long non-coding RNA, 699 nt
Organism: Benincasa hispida (wax gourd)
Lineage: Eukaryota; Viridiplantae; Streptophyta; Magnoliopsida; Cucurbitales; Cucurbitaceae
Source: RefSeq, a predicted model, not a curated record